AGAGAAAGACUAGGGGUGUGAAAAACAGUGUUUGGCUGGUGUUUAACUGGAUGCUCCGUGUGCGUUCAGUGUUUUCUUAUACAACCUAGCUAGGCGAACCUAUAAACAGCCGGUUACAGCAC
Molecule: long non-coding RNA, 122 nt
Organism: Sander lucioperca (pikeperch)
Lineage: Eukaryota; Metazoa; Chordata; Actinopteri; Perciformes; Percidae
Exons: 3
Source: RefSeq, a predicted model, not a curated record